This 372-nucleotide ribosomal RNA is filed under the name uncultured organism. RNAcentral's name for it is "bacterial SSU rRNA". It matches the Rfam family "Bacterial small subunit ribosomal RNA", at positions 526 to 896 of the family's 1533-position model. The record is from RNAcentral.
CGUAGGUGGCAAGCGUUGUCCGGAAUUAUUGGGCGUAAAGCGCGCGCAGGCGGUUCCUUAAGUCUGAUGUGAAAGCCCCCGGCUCAACCGGGGGGGGUCAUUGGAAACUGGGGAACUUGAGUGCAGAAGAGAAGAGCGGAAUUCCACGUGUAGCGGUGAAAUGCGUAGAGAUGUGGAGGAACACCAGUGGCGAAGGCGGCUCUUUGGUCUGUAACUGACGCUGAGGCGCGAAAGCGUGGGGAGCAAACAGGAUUAGAUACCCUGGUAGUCCACGCCGUAAACGAUGAGUGCUAAGUGUUAGAGGGUUUCCGCCCUUUAGUGCUGCAGCUAACGCAUUAAGCACUCCGCCUGGGGAGUACGGCCGCAAGGCUG